Molecule: long non-coding RNA, 1875 nt
Organism: Cryptomeria japonica (Japanese cedar)
Lineage: Eukaryota; Viridiplantae; Streptophyta; Pinopsida; Cupressales; Cupressaceae
Exons: 5
Source: RefSeq, a predicted model, not a curated record
CUGCAGAUCUUUUCAAAUGAUACUAAUAGGAAUAUAGCACAAGGGAAGUGUGCAAGUUGCAUGUUGUACUGCUUGGUUCUUCAAACCACACAGAAAGAGCAAACUUUGCACUUCAAAGCAUUCCCAACCUAAAAGAAGCCCUGCCUCACAUUUGAAAAGAUGAUGUUAGUUUGCUGAGGAACGACAAGAUGAAGAUAGAGGUCAAUAUGCGAAUUUUCCAAUGCCAAUGCGACAUUCAGCCAUAUGGAUAAUGCAAACACCAUACCCAAAGGUAUAGUUUACAGGUGUCGUAUCAAUGUAUUGUUCAUUUUAUUCUUUGAAAAACUAGAGAGUAAAGCUGAAUGGGGAUCUCCUUGAAAUUGAUAAAUCUGUUUUCUUUAGUUUUCCUUGGAUUUAUGAUUUGAUUUUGCUAUUUUGGGGUAAGUGUGACUUGGGGGAAACAUUGUUAUCGCUCUGUUUGGUGUGUUUAAGUCUGUAUACCGUAUUUGAAAGCUGGUAGGGUAUAGGGUUUAACGUAUUUCAUUUCUGUAUGAGGUGUUAUGAGUGUUGUCAAAGUUAAUAAUUUUUUUUUCUCACUAAAGCAUGUCUAUGAAUGUAUAAUGCACAUUAUUCCGUAUGCUAAUUUGAAAGCUGGGUUUCGGUUGGGAAGGCAAGUUUCGGGGUUUCCUUGCAAAAACUUAUUGUGUUCAUGUAAGUCUGGUUUCGUUGCCAAAUUCUCUGUUUUGAAAUCAGUAAGGUUUAAGUUUAAUGCCUUCAUUGUGUUAACGUGCAAAAUCCUCUUUGCAAUGUAACUUGAAUUUCAUUACUGUAUAUGUAUUUUAUCAAUUGUUUGAGAUAAUGAUUUACAAUAUUUUAUCUGUUUCAUAGCUGUACACAGUGUUUAAGUUUUAAGUCUUAAUUUGGUCUCUAUGCAAAAUCCUUUCCCAGCAAGGUUAGUUGCGGAUUCAGUACAGUGUUGAAUUUUGAAAGCUGGUAGGUUCUAGGGUUUACGAAAUUUUAUUUUUUGGUUUUUUGCAAAGCCUGUUCCUGCAAUGUAUAUUGCAUAUUGGUGUUGUAUAUUCUAUUUGCAAACCUGAUAUGUCUUCUGGGAACUUCACCAAAACCAGUUCCAAGAAAAAUUAUUGGAUGUGGUAAGGAAGGCAAAUAACUAUGCUGUAAUUGCGCCACAGAUGGGAAAGCAGGUGGUUGCCUUUCAGGCAGCCAUGGAGAUCAUGGCGGAGCAGUUUCCUGAAGCUUUUUCGGGCUACAAACUCGAGUACCCUGUUGUGUCAUCCAUUCUUGGCGUCUUUCAUUGCCUACCACGAUAUUCUUAUUUCAGGUAAUUCAACUUUUUGGCCAUCUUGGGGUUGAUGCUCUGCACUCUAUCAUUGGCAUUUGGUCUUCUUCUUAGAGCUCCUCAGUACCAGCAAUUUCUCUUUCGACUCCAUCUAGAUUUGAAAGGUUUCUAAAGAAAAACAGGCAUCAACUUCUUAAGGGAAAUAAAUUUGACAUAGUUACUUAACUCUACAAUUGUAGAGUUAAACAAUAGAAGUAGCUUCUCUUCUAACACCUGCCAUAUCUGAAUGAUUUACACUUUACAUAGAAAGCAACAUCUUAAACUUUUUUAAUGACAAAUGAUUUUAACAUGGUAGUUAAAUGCUAUAAUGUAGCACUUUCACUUUUGUUGAUGAGAUGAAUUAUGUUUUUUGAGUAUUUGAAAUGCACACAAUGGAUCAUUUGGUGCUUAGAAGUUUCCCUUUUUCUUUGUAUGUGACGGUGUAUUAUAGGAUUUUGAACUGGGGCAUUGAAUAUGGUUCCACGUGUUGCAACAGCUGUAAUUUAUACACUGGAGUUUAAGUUUACUUCUGUGGUCAAUAUGGAUAAUUUUCUUGUUUA